UACAGAGGGUGCAAGCGUUAAUCGGAAUUACUGGGCGUAAAGCGAGCGUAGUCGGUUAUUUAAGUCGGAUGUGAAAUCCCCGGGCUCAACCUGGGAAUUGCAUUCGAUACUGGAUAGCUAGAGUUCGGCAGAGGGAAGCGGAAUUUCUGGUGUAGCGGUGAAAUGCGUAGAUAUCAGAAGGAACAUCAGUGGCGAAAGCGGCUUCCUGGACCAGAACUGACGAUCAGGCUCGAAAGCGUGGGGAACAAACAGG
RNAcentral lists this ribosomal RNA (253 nucleotides) under uncultured bacterium. RNAcentral describes it as "partial 16S ribosomal RNA". It matches the Rfam family "Bacterial small subunit ribosomal RNA", at positions 524 to 776 of the family's 1533-position model. The record is from RNAcentral.